Onychomys torridus (southern grasshopper mouse) is the source of this 104-nucleotide small nuclear RNA. Lineage: Eukaryota; Metazoa; Chordata; Mammalia; Rodentia; Cricetidae. The record is from RefSeq and is a predicted model, not a curated record.
AUGCUCACUUCAGCAGCACAUAUACUAAAGCCAGGAAAAUACAGAGAUUAGCACGGCCCCUGCACAAGGAUGACAUGCAGAUUUGUGAAGGAUUCCAUAUAUAA